This 640-nucleotide ribosomal RNA is filed under the name Streptomyces murinus. RNAcentral describes it as "bacterial SSU rRNA". It matches the Rfam family "Bacterial small subunit ribosomal RNA", at positions 88 to 752 of the family's 1533-position model. The record is from RNAcentral. Lineage: Bacteria; Bacillati; Actinomycetota; Actinomycetes; Kitasatosporales; Streptomycetaceae.
GGUGGCGGCCGCCUAAGGGUGGAUCAACCUGCCCUGCACUCUGGGACAAGCCCUGGAAACGGGGUCUAAUACCGGAUAUGACCGUCUUGGGCAUCCUUGACGGUGUAAAGCUCCGGCGGUGCAGGAUGAGCCCGCGGCCUAUCAGCUUGUUGGUGAGGUAGUGGCUCACCAAGGCGACGACGGGUAGCCGGCCUGAGAGGGCGACCGGCCACACUGGGACUGAGACACGGCCCAGACUCCUACGGGAGGCAGCAGUGGGGAAUAUUGCACAAUGGGCGAAAGCCUGAUGCAGCGACGCCGCGUGAGGGAUGACGGCCUUCGGGUUGUAAACCUCUUUCAGCAGGGAAGAAGCGAGAGUGACGGUACCUGCAGAAGAAGCGCCGGCUAACUACGUGCCAGCAGCCGCGGUAAUACGUAGGGCGCAAGCGUUGUCCGGAAUUAUUGGGCGUAAAGAGCUCGUAGGCGGCUUGUCACGUCGGUUGUGAAAGCCCGGGGCUUAACCCCGGGUCUGCAGUCGAUACGGGCAGGCUAGAGUUCGGUAGGGGAGAUCGGAAUUCCUGGUGUAGCGGUGAAAUGCGCAGAUAUCAGGAGGAACACCGGUGGCGAAGGCGGAUCUCUGGGCCGAUACUGACGCUGAGGA